UUUUACUUUGAAAGUAAAUCUGAAGUUUAGCUGUUAUCGUUUUGGCCGGUACGUUUGGCCAGUCGGCCUCCACGUUCAGCAGAUGCUGAAAUACAAGAAAGGAACCAACAGAUGGCGACCUAGCAUAACUAUUGGUCAUACUAGAACGAUUUGGACCAAUUAACAGACUCUGCUUGGAUGACGAAUCAUUGCAGGGGUAAUGAUGUACCCCUCCCUCAGUAAGCCUCAGAAAUAAAA
Molecule: long non-coding RNA, 237 nt
Organism: Electrophorus electricus (electric eel)
Lineage: Eukaryota; Metazoa; Chordata; Actinopteri; Gymnotiformes; Gymnotidae
Source: RefSeq, a predicted model, not a curated record